RNAcentral lists this ribosomal RNA (492 nucleotides) under uncultured bacterium. RNAcentral's name for it is "partial 16S ribosomal RNA". It matches the Rfam family "Bacterial small subunit ribosomal RNA", at positions 29 to 507 of the family's 1533-position model. The record is from RNAcentral.
AGUGAACGCUGGCGGUAGGCCUAACACAUGCAAGUCGAACGGCAGCACAGUAAGAGCUUGCUCUUACGGGUGGCGAGUGGCGGACGGGUGAGGAAUACAUCUGAAUCUACUUUUUCGUGGGGGAUAACGUAGGGAAACUUACGCUAAUACCGCAUACGACCUACGGGUGAAAGCAGGGGAUCUUCGGACCUUGCGCGAUUGAAUGAGCCGAUGUCGGAUUAGCUAGUUGGCGGGGUAAAGGCCCACCAAGGCGACGAUCCGUAGCUGGUCUGAGAGGAUGAUCAGCCGCACUGGAACUGAGACACGGUCCAGACUCCUACGGGAGGCAGCAGUGGGGAAUAUUGGACAAUGGGCGCAAGCCUGAUCCAGCCAUACCGCGUGGGUGAAGAAGGCCUUCGGGUUGUAAAGCCCUUUUGUUGGGAAAGAAAAGCAGCAGGUUAAUACCCCGCUGUUCUGACGGUACCCAAAGAAUAAGCACCGGCUAACUUCGUG